This 450-nucleotide ribosomal RNA is filed under the name uncultured bacterium. RNAcentral describes it as "partial 16S ribosomal RNA". It matches the Rfam family "Bacterial small subunit ribosomal RNA", at positions 354 to 796 of the family's 1533-position model. The record is from RNAcentral.
GUGGGGAAUAUUGGACAAUGGGGGGAACCCUGAUCCAGCCAUGCCGCGUGUGUGAAGAAGGCCUUUUGGUUGUAAAGCACUUAAGCGAGGAGGAGGCUACCGAGAUUAAUACUCUUGGAUAGUGGACGUUACUCGCAGAAUAAGCACCGGCUAACUCUGUGCCAGCAGCCGCGGUACUACAGAGGGUGCAAGCGUUAAUCGGAUUUACUGGGCGUAACGCGCGCGUAGGUGGCCAAUUAAGUCAAAUGUGAAAUCCCCGAGCUUAACUUGGGAAUUGCAUUCGAUACUGGUUGGCUAGAGUAUGGGAGAGGAUGGUAGAAUUCCAGGUGUAGCGGUGAAAUGCGUAGAGAUCUGGAGGAAUACCGAUGGCGAAGGCAGCCAUCUGGCCUAAUACUGACACUGAGGUGCGAAAGCAUGGGGAGCAAACAGGAUUAGAUACCCUAGUAGUCC